RNAcentral lists this ribosomal RNA (253 nucleotides) under uncultured bacterium. Its description in RNAcentral is "partial 16S ribosomal RNA". It matches the Rfam family "Bacterial small subunit ribosomal RNA", at positions 524 to 776 of the family's 1533-position model. The record is from RNAcentral.
UACGGGGGGUGCAAGCGUUGUUCGGAAUUACUGGGCGUAAAGGGCUCGUAGGCGGCCAACUAAGUCGGACGUGAAAUCCCCAGGCUCAACCUGGGAACUGCGUCCGAUACUGGAUGGCUUGAAUCCGGGAGAGGGAUGCAGAAUUCCAGGUGUAGCGGUGAAAUGCGUAGAUAUCUGGAGGAAUACCGGUGGCGAAGGCGGCAUCCUGGACCGGCAUUGACGCUGAGGCGCGAAAGCGUGGGGAGCAAACGGG